This 497-nucleotide ribosomal RNA is filed under the name uncultured bacterium. RNAcentral's name for it is "partial 16S ribosomal RNA". It matches the Rfam family "Bacterial small subunit ribosomal RNA", at positions 28 to 507 of the family's 1533-position model. The record is from RNAcentral.
GAUGAACGCUGGCGGCGUGCCUAAUACAUGCAAGUCGAGCGAACAGACGAGGAGCUUGCUCCUCUGACGUUAGCGGCGGACGGGUGAGUAACACGUGGAUAACCUACCUAUAAGACUGGGAUAACUUCGGGAAACCGGAGCUUAUACCGGAUAAUAUAUUGAACCGCAUGGUUCAAUAGUGAAAGACGGUUUUGCUGUCACUUAUAGAUGGAUCCGCGCCGCAUUAGCUAGUUGGUAAGGUAACGGCUUACCAAGGCAACGAUGCGUAGCCGACCUGAGAGGGUGAUCGGCCACACUGGAGCUGAGACACGGUCCAGACUCCUACGGGAGGCAGCAGUAGGGAAUCGUCCGCAAUGGGCGAAAACCUGGCGGAGCAACGCCACGUGAGUGAUGAAGAUCUUCGGAUCGUAAAACUCUGUUAUUAGGGAAGAACAAAUGUGUAAGUAGCUAUGCACGUCUUGACGGUACCUAAUCAGAAAGCCACGGCUAACUACGUG